GCAAUUGGCGGCUUUGAAGGAGCGGCGGGCGGGAACAGCUGCUGAGGAGUGAGGCCACUGGCGAUGUGCACGUGCCAAAGAAAUGGAUGAAAUUGUUGCCGAGUUUAUCAAGAGGACCAUCUUGAAAAUCCCCAUGACUGAAAUGAUGACAACUCUAAAAGCCUGGGAUUUUUUAUCUGAAAAUCAACUACAGAGCAUAAACUUCCGGAAGAGAAAGGAAUCGCUUGUUCAUGACUUGGUUCUACUUUGUGAGGAGAAGAAUGCAAGUGUCAGUGACGCUGCCCUUCUAGACAUCAUUUAUACUCAAUUUCAUCGGCACCAGAAAGUUUGGGAUGUUUUUCAGAUGACUAAAGAACCAGGUGAAGACAUUGACCUUUUUGAUAUGAAACAAUUCAAAACUUCAUUUAAGAAAAUUCUUCAGAGAGCAUUAAAAAAUGUAUCAGUCACCUUCAGAGAUGCUGAGGAGAAUGCAGUAUGGAUUCGAAUUGCCUGGGGAACACAGUAUAAAAAGCCAAACCAGUACAAACCUACGUACGUGGUGUAUUAUUCCCAGACUCCAUAUGCCUUCAUUUCUUCCUCCCGGCUGAGGAGCAGCAUUCCCCUUCUGGGUCAGGCACUGACAAUUGCUAGCAAAUACCAUCGGAUUGUGAAAAUGGACUUCAGAAGCCGAUAUCUGGACUCUCUUAAGGCUAUUGUUUUUAAACAGUAUAAUCAGACUUUUGAAAGUCAUAACGCUACUACACCUCUACAAGAAAGAAGCUUUGGGCUGGAUAUAAAUAUGGAUUCAAGAAUCAUUCAUGAAAACAGAAUAGAAAAAGACAGAGUCCAAAGAGUGACUCAAGAAAUUUUUGGAGACUAUCCUCAACCAAGACUAGAAUUUGCACAAUAUAAGCUUGAAACGAAAUUCAAAAGUGACUUAAAUGGGGGCAUUUUGGCAGAAAGAAAAGAACCCCUCCGAUGCCUAGUAAAAUUCUCUAGCCCGAAUCUUCUGGAAGCAUUGAAAUUCUUAGCACCAGCAGGGUACUCAAAAAGUGAAGAGAAGAGAAGAGAGCAAAAGGAAAUAUGACUACUGAAGAAAUUGGAGUGAUAUGAGACUCGGCUCACCAUUACUGACUUCGAGAAGCUGGAACAGGAUACCCUGCCCCUAACCAAAUAUUCCUUAACAUAAAUGAUUAACAAACCCUUC
RNA transcript from Molossus molossus (Pallas's mastiff bat), 1186 nucleotides. It is a transcript of the gene named centromere protein N, with no coding region annotated. The record is from RefSeq and is a predicted model, not a curated record. The transcript is spliced from 12 exons. NCBI's taxonomy places the organism in Eukaryota, Metazoa, Chordata, Mammalia, Chiroptera, Molossidae.